ACUCAAAUGAAUAGACGGGGGCCCGCACAAGCGGUGGAGCAUGUGGUUCAAUUCGAAGCAACGCGCAGAACCUUACCAGCCUUUGACAUGUCCGGUGUGGAGAUCAGAGAUGAACUCCUUCAGUUCGGCUGGCCGGAACACAGGUGCUGCAUGGCUGUCGUCAGCUCGUGUCGUGAGAUGUUGGGUUAAGUCCCGCAACGAGCGCAACCCUCGCCCUUAGUAACCAUCAUUCAGUUGGGUACUCUAAGGGGACUGCCGGUGAUAAGCCGGAGGAAGGUGGGGAUGACGUCAAGUCCUCAUGGCCCUUACAGGCUGGGCUACACACGUGCUACAAUGGCGGUGACAGUGGGAUGCAAUGGAGCAAUCCCGAGCAAACCUCGAAAAACCGCCUCAGUUCGGAUUGUGCUCUGCAACUCGAGCACAUGAAGUUGGAAUCGCUAGUAAUCGCAGAUCAGAAUGCUGCGGUGAAUACGUUCCCGGGCCUUGCACACACCGCCCGU
This 500-nucleotide ribosomal RNA is filed under the name uncultured bacterium. RNAcentral's name for it is "partial 16S ribosomal RNA". It matches the Rfam family "Bacterial small subunit ribosomal RNA", at positions 899 to 1397 of the family's 1533-position model. The record is from RNAcentral.